GAUCCUGGCUCAGGAUGAACGCUGGCGGCGCGCCUAACACAUGCAAGUCGAACGGCACCCACCUCCGGGUGGAAGCGAGUGGCGAACGGCUGAGUAACACGUGGAGAACCUGCCCCCUCCCCCGGGAUAGCCGCCCGAAAGGACGGGUAAUACCGGAUACCCCGGGGUGCCGCAUGGCACCCCGGCUAAAGCCCCGACGGGAGGGGAUGGCUCCGCGGCCCAUCAGGUAGACGGCGGGGUGACGGCCCACCGUGCCGACAACGGGUAGCCGGGUUGAGAG
This 280-nucleotide ribosomal RNA is filed under the name uncultured bacterium. Its description in RNAcentral is "partial 16S ribosomal RNA". It matches the Rfam family "Bacterial small subunit ribosomal RNA", at positions 15 to 298 of the family's 1533-position model. The record is from RNAcentral.